RNAcentral lists this non-coding RNA (182 nucleotides) under Pelosinus fermentans. Lineage: Bacteria; Bacillati; Bacillota; Negativicutes; Selenomonadales; Sporomusaceae. The record is from RNAcentral.
AUUCCAUAUGUUGAGAUAGGUGCCCCAAGGGGCUUAAUAGGGAAGUCCGGUCCAAUGCCGGCGCGGUCCCGCCACUGUAAUGAGGAGUGAACCCAAGGUAUACCACUGAGACAACUGUCUUGGGAAGGUUUGGGUAAGCAAUGAUCCAGAGCCAGGAGAACUGCCUAUUUGACAAUCACCGU